CCUACGGGAGGCAGCAGUCGAGAAUCAUUCACAAUGGGGGAAACCCUGAUGGGGCGACGCCGCGUGGGGGAAUGAAGGUCGGCGGAUUGUAAACCCCUGUCAUGUGGGAGCAAAUUAAAAAGAUAGUACCACACGAGGAAGAGACGGCUAACGCUGUGCCAGCAGCCGCGGUAAUACAGAGGCCUCAAGCGUUGUUCGGAACCACUGGGCGUAAAGCGUGCGUAGGCUGUUUCGUAAGUCGUGUGUGAAAGGCGCGGGCUCAACCCGCGGACGGCACAUGAUACUGCGAGACUAGAGUAAUGGAGGGGGAACCGGAAUUCUCGGUGUAGCCGUGAAAUGCGUAGAUAUCGAGAGGAACACUCGUGGCGAAGGCGGGUUCCUGGACAUUAACUGACGCUGAGGCACGAAGGCCCGGGGAGCGAAAUGGAUUAGAUACCCUAGUAGUC
RNAcentral lists this ribosomal RNA (446 nucleotides) under uncultured bacterium. Its description in RNAcentral is "partial 16S ribosomal RNA". It matches the Rfam family "Bacterial small subunit ribosomal RNA", at positions 338 to 795 of the family's 1533-position model. The record is from RNAcentral.